Molecule: ribosomal RNA, 125 nt
Filed under: Clostridioides difficile
Lineage: Bacteria; Bacillati; Bacillota; Clostridia; Peptostreptococcales; Peptostreptococcaceae
Description: partial 16S ribosomal RNA
Rfam family: Bacterial small subunit ribosomal RNA
Source: RNAcentral
AGUUGGAGACGCCCGAAGCCGAUUAUCUAACCUUUUGGAAGAAGUCGUCGAAGGUGGAAUCAAUAACUGGGGUGAAGUCGUAACAAGGUAGCCGUAUCGGAAGGUGCGGCUGGAUCACCUCCUUU